GCCUGUUGUGGUUCCUCACAGGACCAGUCUAUGAGGACCCCUACUUCGGGUUCCUGCGGCCGCCUCAGGGGGAGACGGCUAGCCUCCUCGGAUGCAGCCUCUACUCGGCUGCUGUAACACUCCUUCCGCUGAGCAUACUCUUUCGCCAGCCGGAAUUCUCGGGCCAGCCUUGUGUUUCGCUCGGCCGUGACCUGGUUCCAGAUCACCCGGCGUACCUCCAUGGGUAAAUCAUCUCCAUACUGGGCCACUCGCUGCCUCACCUCGGCCAUCCAAUCAUCGCCAGAGCCUUCCAUACUUGUCUGCUCCAAGUCGCUGGAUACCUCUGCUCCCAGG
This 333-nucleotide long non-coding RNA is filed under the name Pelobates cultripes (western spadefoot toad). Lineage: Eukaryota; Metazoa; Chordata; Amphibia; Anura; Pelobatidae. The record is from RNAcentral.